UGGUCUUUACUUCAAGCAUAUGUACGUCUAUGCCAAAAAGGGGGGAUGGGGGGUAAUCUAACUAGCUUUGCAUUUUCUGGAAUUCUGUAACCAGCCCUGUGAAUAGAAAUCCGAGCAGCAUGUUUAUCACUUGGAGCACCCUUUGCGGCAGUUGCACUUCUGCCAUGUACAGAAGAAGAUGCAACAUCUACAAUACUGUAACCUGGAUGGACUUUAGUCUCACCAUUCAUGCCUGAUUUGAAAUCCUUUUUAAUGCAUUAUCUACAAAAUGGUGGCAAAUGCAGGGAAUACUUGCAUAUAUGAGGGAAACUUUGAGAUAGUACUGCCACAGGAAGUUGAAUUCGUUUUUCUCACAGCCAAGCAGGAGAGGAUCUGAUGAUGUAUACUAAAUCCAUGGCAAUACCUGAAUCGUUAUAAUAUGUUCCCUUCUGAAUGGUUCAUCAGUGAGAUGCUCCUUCCAGUUCUUAGUUUUUAGGUUUAAUUCUUUGAUUGCUGUGCAGCAAAAGUAAAUAGUUUAUGCAAUUUAUAUUUGCAGACGUGCUAUCUCUAAAUGGCUCAGAAGGUGCAUCCAGGUUAAGUAUUGCUUCUCUUAGAGAUGCGAAUCAUGGAGAUGACGAUGUGUACAAAGGUGGUGUAAUGAGAAGGGUAACACUAUCUGUGAGAUAUGCCACCAGGUGUGUCUCUUUUAAAUCUUUUAAUGUUAUUGUGCUAGUAUCACCUUAUCUAUUAUUUCUGCCUCCCUCCAUGUUCUUCUAUGUGCAGGUACUUUAGACUUUUAAUUCAUGUUCUGGGCUCAACUAAGAUGCUUUUGCCAAACGUCUGUAAUUGUAAUUGUUUUGCAUAUUGAAAACUCAUUGAGGCUUGAGAAUGUCAUGAAGAAUAUCUGUACGUAUUUAUCUGCUAGUAGGUACUUUUGGAAACAUGUUCACCUUCUCUCCUCAAAUCUCUUUAAUCACUUGCGGAGUAGGUCAUUUUCUUAACAUUUCUUCUAAAAUAUUUUUGUGGCCACAGGGAUGUCGUAUCAUUUCUUCAAACAAAUAAUUCUGUCUUGAUGUGGAGUAGGUCAUUUUCAUCGGAUAGU
This 1081-nucleotide long non-coding RNA is filed under the name Panax ginseng (ginseng). RNAcentral's name for it is "long non-coding RNA (PGIN_LNC015149)". The record is from RNAcentral. Lineage: Eukaryota; Viridiplantae; Streptophyta; Magnoliopsida; Apiales; Araliaceae.